Molecule: ribosomal RNA, 495 nt
Filed under: uncultured bacterium
Lineage: Bacteria
Description: partial 16S ribosomal RNA
Rfam family: Bacterial small subunit ribosomal RNA
Source: RNAcentral
GAUGAACGCUGGCGGCGUGCCUAAUACAUGCAAGUCGAGCGAACGGACGAGAAGCUUGCUUCUCUGAUGUUAGCGGCGGACGGGUGAGUAACACGUGGAUAACCUACCUAUAAGACUGGGAUAACUUCGGGAAACCGGAGCUAAUACCGGAUGAUAUUUUGAACCGCAUGGUUCAAAAGUGAAAGACGGUCUUGCUGUCACUUAUAGAUGGAUCCGCGCUGCAUUAGCUAGUUGGUAAGGUAACGGCUUACCAAGGCAACGAUGCAUAGCCGACCUGAGAGGGUGAUCGGCCACACUGGAACUGAGACACGGUCCAGACUCCUACGGGAGGCAGCAGUAGGGAAUCUUCCGCAAUGGGCGAAAGCCUGACGGAGCAACGCCGCGUGAGUGAUGAAGGUCUUCGGAUCGUAACUCUGUUAUUUGGGAAGAACAUAUGUGUAAGUAACUGUGCACAUCUUGACGGUACCUAAUCAGAAAGCCACGGCUAACUACGUG